Molecule: ribosomal RNA, 343 nt
Filed under: uncultured Pseudomonadota bacterium
Lineage: Bacteria; Pseudomonadati; Pseudomonadota
Description: bacterial SSU rRNA
Rfam family: Bacterial small subunit ribosomal RNA
Source: RNAcentral
AAUGAACGCUGGCGGCGUGCCUAACACAUGCAAGUCGAACGAGAAAUUCCCUGCUUGCAGGGGAGAGUAAAGUGGCGCACGGGUGAGUAACGCGUAAGUAAUCUACCCCCGCAUUCGGAAUAACUCGUCGAAAGGUGAGCUAAUACCGGAUACGUUUAUCUUGAUGCGAAUGAUGAUAAAGAAAGGUGGCCUCUUCAUGAAAGCUACUGUGCAGGGAUGAGCUUGCGUACCAUUAGCUAGUUGGUAGGGUAAUGGCCUACCAAGGCGACGAUGGUUAGCGGGUCUGAGAGGAUGAUCCGCCACACUGGAACUGGAACACGGACCAGACACCUACGGGUGGCUG